This is a non-coding RNA of Malus domestica (apple), 548 nucleotides long. The record is from RefSeq and is a predicted model, not a curated record. NCBI's taxonomy places the organism in Eukaryota, Viridiplantae, Streptophyta, Magnoliopsida, Rosales, Rosaceae.
AAGGGGUCCAAGACUGGCUUGUUUUAUACAUGAUACGAACAAACAUUUCUUAAUCUAUUGCUUCAGAUUUUGAAUUACGUUGAAGAUUGAAAAAACGAUGCAAAGUUCGGAGACAUCCAAUGACCAAGAUGAAGCAGAACCUGGUGAUAGAUCUGAAGAGCUUAAAUCAUAUGCAGUUCUCAAAAAUCGUAUCCAUGAUUUACUAAUGGCGUUGUCGGAUCCAAAUCAAUGAAAACAUCUGUGACAUUACCAAAUAAUUGGAACCCAGGAUGUGGACGCUAAGACAUCUCAAUAUAUCAUCAGUUCCAUUACGGAGACCAAAACAAGAACUUACACUUGCUUUCAAAGCUGGAUCCUGUGGAUGAGCCUGAAAUCUCAAGAGAUGGAGACAGAGAACGCCCUACUGGCAAAGUAUUGCAGGCAUUUCCAGAAGAAACCAAGUUUUUGUUGAAUAUAGGUCCCGCAUCGGGAAAUUGAGAAAAUACUAGAAUAUAGUAUAUUAGUGUAUGGUUCCACUCCUAAUAACACCGAAAAAUUUUGUGAUGAAA